Long non-coding RNA from Drosophila biarmipes, 1219 nucleotides. RefSeq lists it as uncharacterized. Lineage: Eukaryota; Metazoa; Arthropoda; Insecta; Diptera; Drosophilidae. The transcript is spliced from 3 exons. The record is from RefSeq and is a predicted model, not a curated record.
GAUAAUAAUCUGACUUAUAAAGAGAUGGCAACUCUCUUAUGCCAAAUUGAAGCGGUAUUAAAUUCAAGACCAUUAUAUACAACUAAUACUGACAUUGACGAUUGGGAAGUUUUGUCAUCAGGUCACUUCCUGAUAGGAAGGCCCACAUUAGGACCUAUUGAGACCAUUUCCGAGGAAAGAAUUGCAAAUUUAGAUAGAUGGAAAUUAAUUCAUAAAAUGAAAAGAGAAUUUUGGGUUAUAAUGGAAGAAUGAUUAUUUAAACACCCUUCAACAAAGAAAUAAAUGGAAACUAGGAAUGCCAAACCUUAAUAGAGGUCAAAUUGUGUUACUAAAAGAUGAAAAUUGACAUCCCGCUAGAUGGCGCUUGGGAAAAGUAGAAGAAAUAUAUAAGGGAAAAGAAGACCGAUUCAGAGUAGUAAAAGUCAAACUACAAGAUGGUUCAAUUUUAAAACCUAUUACAAAAGUUUGCCCUCUAACUGGAAUUGAGGCUGAAGAGAGCAAAUCACCUUUCCCGGUCAAGCAGACUAAGGAUACUCGCAGGAGCCCUAGAAUCCAUAAGCUUGGAUUAAUGCCGAUAAUGUUAAUGCUAAUGUUAUUUUGCCAGGUGUCUAGUGCAAGUUCACCUACGCAAGGACAACAAAAGUGGUCAUUCAAGAAAUUACACGAGACUAAUUCCAUUUACUUAGAUCCAAGGGGAGACGUAGAAGUCAUAGCCUCAUCUUGGGAUCUAAUUGUAUAUUACAACAUGAUAAGAAAGGGAAAACUGUUGAAUGGGAAAAUUAAACUGGUGUGUGACAAGCUUCAUGGGUUUGAAGAUUAAUGUAAUACUUUUCUUGAUAAUACUCAACGACAGAUUACAGAUUUGGAAGAGCACAAUAAACUGUUUAUGACUCAGGAUAGGAAAAUAUAUAGGCGAGCUCCAUUCGAGUUUAUGGGCUCUCUCUAUCACAUACUUUUUGGUGUAAUGGACGCUGAAAAUAGGGAUAACUUAGAGGGUAACAUGAAGAACCCCUUAGAUAACCAGUAAACUGCAGAAUUGGUUAAAAAGCAAACCUUUGUAGUAGAAUCAACAAUAAAUAUCUUCAAAAGAACUACGGAUGAUAUAAACUCAAAUUUUCCAAGUAUGAAUACGCGAAUAGAAAACAUAACAGAAGUUUUGAAAGAAAGUUACUAUGUCUAUAAAGAGUCAAUUAAUUUAUUUAUGGUAACAAAACAAUUA